This 482-nucleotide ribosomal RNA is filed under the name uncultured bacterium. RNAcentral's name for it is "partial 16S ribosomal RNA". It matches the Rfam family "Bacterial small subunit ribosomal RNA", at positions 30 to 507 of the family's 1533-position model. The record is from RNAcentral.
AUUGAAUGCUGGCGGCAUGCUUUACACAUGCCAGUCGAACGGUAACAGGCCGCAAGGUGCUGACGAGUGGCGAACGGGUGAGUAAUGCAUCGGAACGUGCCCAGUCGUGGGGGAUAACUACUCGAAAGAGUAGCUAAUACCGCAUACGAUCUAUGGAUGAAAGCGGGGGACCGUAAGGCCUCGCGCGAUUGGAGCGGCCGAUGUCAGAUUAGGUAGUUGGUGGGGUAAAGGCUCACCAAGCCAACGAUCUGUAGCUGGUCUGAGAGGACGACCAGCCACACUGGGACUGAGACACGGCCCAGACUCCUACGGGAGGCAGCAGUGGGGAAUUUUGGACAAUGGGCGCAAGCCUGAUCCAGCAAUGCCGCGUGCAGGAAGAAGGCCUUCGGGUUGUAAACUGCUUUUGUACGGAACGAAACGGCUCUGGUUAAUACCCGGGGCUAAUGACGGUACCGUAAGAAUAAGCACCGGCUAACUACGUG